RNAcentral lists this long non-coding RNA (942 nucleotides) under Numida meleagris (helmeted guineafowl). RNAcentral describes it as "lncRNA (ENSNMEG00000000674.1)". Lineage: Eukaryota; Metazoa; Chordata; Aves; Galliformes; Numididae. The record is from RNAcentral.
CGUGUCCACUGGAAUCAAGAUGGCCGCCACGAUCACGUGUCCACUGGAGCCAAGAUGGCCGCCACAAUCAUGUGUCCACUGGAACCAAGAUGGAAGCCAUGAUCACGUGUCCACUGGAGCCAAGAUGGCCACCAUGAUGCUGCUUCCACUGGAGCCAAGAUGGCCGCCAUGAUCACGUGUCCACUGGAAUCAAGAUGGCCGCCAUGAUCACGUGUCCACUGGAACCAAGAUGGCCGCCAUGAUGCCGUGUCCACUUGAGCCAAGAUGGCCGCCAGGAUCACGUGCCCACUGGAGCCAAGAUGGCCGCCAUGAUUCCUCCUGAUGAGAUCAAGAUGGCCGCCAAGUCCCAAGUCCACUCAGGCCACAAUGGCCGCCAUGAUUCCUUCCGACGCCACCGGAACCAAGAUGGCCGCCGCCAGACGGGAAGCCAUCCGGUUUAAAGAUGGCCGCCUCCACGUGACAUCACCAUUUUCCACACGGCCUCCAGUUCCGCCAUGACCACAUCCAAGAUGCAUGCCAGUAUCCAUCGCAGCUUCCGGUUCAAGAUGGCGGCCAGCCCCCAGCUUCCGGUUCGAUUGCCGCAAGCCGCCCCGUUUCCGGUUCAAAAUGGCCGCCAGCCCCCACAACUUCCGGUUCAAGAUGGCCGCUGCCGUGACGUCACCACACCCUCAGGGCGGCCAUGUUGGGCGUCCCAUGGCGGCGAUACCCAGGGGCCACCUUAGGCUCAACUCGUCCGCCAUCUUGGGGUCCCCCAGCGGCCAUCUUGAGGUCAACAUGUCCGCCAUCUUGGGGUCACCCGGCAGCCAUCUUGGCCGCAUCCCAGUCAGCCAUCUUGGGGCCAACGUGCCCGCCAUCUUAGGGUCGCCCAGUGGCCAUCUUGGCCCUUGUCGGCCAUCUUGGCUCCCUUGUCAGCCAUCUUGGCCGUGUCGGCCAUCUUGGCUC